CAAAGCCUCCCCUCACUGCUGAAACAGUGUUGAUUAGGGGGGGGUCUGGAUUAUAUCCUCCUCGUCAGGACCUUGGAAGAUAACACCUACUGUCACUGCUGGGGCAGUGCUAAUUGCUGGAACAACGCCUGUUGGUCAGGGCCCUGAGAAAGAAGGGCAGAACCCGAGGAAUCAAAACACAUUUGUCAGCAGAAACCGCAACAGUAAAGAUAAGGGAGAAAAGCGGCCUGCCUAGGAACAACGAUGAGACCCAAUAGGGAGCAGGAGACCCCAGACCCCAAAAUUACUAUUGGUCUGAACUACCGCGUGAGGGGUGGGAAACUUAAUUUGAAAGAGCUAUAAUUGCCCAGGGAUUUCUUUGUUCAGGGUCCCUCUUUGGAGGCACCCAACUCGAGCUGUAACUACUGCACACAUGUCAUUCCGAACUUUUCAGCAGGAACCUAGGGUCGGACCCUGCUGGAGUUGUAAUUACUGCACACGCAUCACUAAAAUUUACACCCAGGGUGAAGAGGACCAACGGGACGCCGCUGGAUCCACGGGUGACCUACAAAGGCUUUUUAUGGAUAUGAAAAAAGAACUGCUAAAUCAUGAUGAUAAAAAUAUGGACAGACGACAAUUAUGAUUCCUUGGAUUUCCACAACCCUGCUCCCUCCAUCCUGCACCAAAGUCGAAUGUGGGGCUGACUGGAGAGCCAGCAACAGAGCAAGAGCACUGCCUGAGGCAACGCCGCGUGACAGGGAGCACAUACACGCGGCAGGACAGACCACAGCCCCUGACUUUCUCCCGCUUUGCCCUGCAUGGUUAUCUUCCCCCUUAAACUUCCCAUUACUGCCUGACUGAAGAGCCCUGAGGUAGCUCUCAGGUCAAUCCCUCGAAGAAAUCCAAUGACCACAGGUCCUGCAGGAGCCCAAGAACAGCUUCCAACACCAUUAGAGGGAAGAGCCUCUUCGCAUUACAGCUGCUGACGUGAGGCUGCAGCAGCCUUAAAUACCUUGAGAAGAAAAUACACUUUUGCAAGCGCUUAAGUAUUAUUCCUGUUUGUCCUUCCAUGUUUUGGAGGAUGGAAAUGCUUUAGAAAGUGAUUUGAAUGGAUUUCCAACUCCAAAACGUCAAGAGGCCCAGCAGAGCUAACAGCAAGAAAGAGGCAAGUAGCUGCAGGAAGGCGCCAGGAGGAGGAAAGGAAAGAGGAGGUCCAACACUAUGGGUAACAGCCUCUCUUGAAGUCUGGUUUCUAUAGCACAGAUGUCUACAGUGACAAUCUAACCCUGCUUCUGUGGACGUAAUACUGUGACAGACGCUCAAAGAAAGCUUCUCUCAAAACACUGAUUCUCAUGCUCCUGAAGCAAAAAGGGGCAAGGUGGUGGUGGUGGUGUAUUAGCAAAAGGUGCAGAUAACAAGACUGCACGUUUUUAGCACUUGAUUAAAACAUACUUUAACAGCAGGUCAGUGGCAGGGGAUAUUUAAUACAAAAUACCAGCUGACUUGCUUUUAGGGUUGAGCUGAACAUACGCUGCUGGAAGAGAUGGGUGACAAAUGUCCAAACAGAGAAGAUGAGAGAACCUAUGUAAUAAAAUGCAAGUUUUUGCUGAUAUCAGAAUAACUUUUGAUGGAGGAGCCUCAGAGUUGACUGGGUUGUCUCCUUGAUUUAUUGAAGGAACCAGUUUAAAUAAUCUAACAGCAACUGGAAUCAUACAGUGAUUAUGGCCUAGAAAAAUUUGAAGGUUGCCUAGCUCCCUUCUCCAGUGCUGGCUCAGAUGGAAGUGAUUUUAAGAACCUAGUAAAUAAAUAAGUUGGUGGAAAAAAUAUAUGAAGCAUCAACUAAGCAUUAUAGCACAAUUUUUUCAGAGAAACUUCACUGAAAAAUGUUCUACCUUUCAUGUAAAUAUAUAACUUUAUUAUAGAGUGCUAAUCAUUUUCUGUAUUAUCUUCUGAUGCACUGAAGAAACUCCUCAUGAAGUAUGGGAGCAGCUGAGCUGAGCAGAAGUUCAUAGUAUCUUCUUCCAUUUGGCCAUUUUACUUCUUUUUUACUAAAUGACUACCAAAAAGCUCCAAAAUGAUUAAAUAUAAAGUGUCAGAUAAAGGUUAAUUCAAUACUACAGGACAAACCAUUUAUUCUAGGCCAUUUAUGCUAGGAAAGAAAACUGAAUUCUUUAUUACACAUCCAUGUUGCAGGAGUGAAGGAUUUAAAACAUUUUGUUUUCUAUAUGGUAAAAAGAACAAUAGAAAUUAUGAAUCUCUUCUGCCCUGCCUAAGAACAAACAAAAUUAAACAUGCUCGCCCCCAUUCAGUGUUAAAUACAUAAAUUGCUACUGUGUUUGCAAGCAAUAGCUGAAAAUAAGUGCCAGGUCUGGACAGAACCUGAGCCAAAUCUUGGAGAGCUGGAUUUGAUGCAGUGCUUGAGAGCUUCACUCGAGGAACGGAUUAUGAUAGGUGAGCUUCCAGUAGGCCACAAAUAAAAAUGGAACUCAUUUUGUGCUAGGGAGAACCCAAUGGUGCCAUGUUACAAAUGAGACACCGAAAAGAGACUAUUUAGCAUUAAUACAAAUUAUGACGUCCCAUAAAACUUUUCUCAGGAGUUUUAGUAUUAUCCUUUGGUAUCAUCUUAGAUGAUCUGUGGCCUAGUGGACAAAUUGCUCUAGGAUACUGAAGAACUCCCCUCCUCUCAUCAGUGUUUGAACUCCAACCUAGGUGUAUUUACAGACAAUUUACAGCCAUCUGUGCUGUUGUCAGUGUUGUCCUUUACCUUAAAUUGCUCUCCCAUGUUCAGGGUUCAUUCCCUUCACGUAUCUGUAGAGACUAGGUCAUAAGACUUUCAUCUUGUUAGAAAUAUUAAGCUACACCUACCCUAAUACUAAAAUACUACAAGUUGUAUCUAGAAGCAGUCUCUACUGGAAUAAUCUAUCAUAAAAUGAGUGAGCAGUCUCUGCUGGAAUAAUCUAUUAUAAAAUGAGUGAUGGAUAAUAAUUUUGUUAGGCAGUGUGCCUUCCUCCCUCCCCCCCAACAGAUGCGUUUUCAUUCAUACUUUAGAAAGACACCAAACAAAAGAUAAGCAUAACUGUAAAAGCAACAGCUUCAUCUAAGUGCGCUAUUUCAUACGCUGUAGUUUGAAGUGCUACAAAAUUCUCACAAAAAAGUAUCAAAAUAAUCAUUUGCCCAAACCUAGUGCUUGGAAACAAUAUUACUUUUCAUAGCAAUUUUUUGUCCAGUUCAGACACAUUAAACAAUUUUCAUGAGACCCAAGUAAGUUACCUCUGAAUCUAGCACAGGUAAGAUUUUGGUUAACUUCCCCAGAGGAAAGUUGCAUUAAGCGAGAGGAAGAGGAAACUCGUUAAACUGCUCCUCUGGAGAGGCUACUUGGGAAAGGAGCACAGCCUUGAGCCCAGAAAACUGCCUGGCUUUUAAGAAGGAAGUUUGGCUGAGGAUUGUUGCUUAGCUACACAGUUCACGGCAGUCAAUUAACCUGUGAUGAUAAUUUCGAAGUGUUCUCCUUGCAACCAGAGUUACAUAGUCUCAUGUGAAAUCUGCACAUUAAUUUAUCUACUACAAACAAGUAGUUGAGUGUUUUGGAUAAAAUCAUAAUCUUAUUGUCUGAGAAAAAAAUGGAAGAAGAGAGCUGCAAGUUUCAAAGCUAUGGAAAAAAAUGAAUUUUGGUAAGCCACUCGAGCAGGCUCCAGAAUGCCUUAGGCAUUAGUAAAUCCAAUCCAGCUUCCACGUGCUUCGGCUCAAGCCAACAGGAAACCACAAAAGCACAAUAUUCAAGAGGAGAACAAGCCUGUAUGUAUACGCCACAAGGCUCCUGAACACUUUCUCAGUUAUCAAGUAUCCAAACUUGCCUUCUUACCAUCUAGCCUAUCCCAGCACAACCCCAUCCUCACACCUACCAGUUUUCUACUAUGACUUUUCUGAAAUGCAGAGCUACACUAAGCCUAACCAGUGUUGCUUCCUGUGAAGCAGGGAAAAAAGUAUCUUCAUAGUGUGCCAGCUGUUAUAACCCCUUCAAGGUAGGAGCGCUGAUGACUAAGUUGUCAUGAAAUCUCCUUUCCCCUCCUAUUACUUGUUACAAGUUUUAUUAUUUUUAUAGUGCUCCCUCAGAAACCACUAGUCAAGGUAAGGAACUCAGACACUGCAUUGGGUGAAAGCUCCGGGAUGUCUUGGCGGUCAGCAAACCCAGGCUUUCCCACAGUCUAGUGAGAAUUAAUACCAAGCUGCUAUCACCAGAGACCUCCUAUGUCCGACACUUUCAGAAGUUUUUGGACAGCGAAUGCAUCUGUAUGUUCAGGCUCUUCACUGAACACAGCGGUGAAGAGAAAACAGUUGUCAGGAGAUGUACACAUCGAGACAGGUAGAUCAAAAAUAACAACAUCUGAGAAACUUCUCGACGCUACCCCGCGUGUGCAUGGUGGGCAGGGAGCACCAGUGCGGGAGGAGAGCAGUCCCUUAGGUUCGUCCCCCAGGCUUGACUUGCAGCAUCGCCACAGUUGCUGCAGGUGCGACUCAAGUCAUGACCAAACCACGCGCCGGGAGCGAGGGACAGGUCUUCCACCCUGCCUCAUUAUUCCCCAAGGGCCAAACCCCAGCGUGGGGUGAGCAAGAUGUAAACACUACUAUUAUUUUAAAGAGAUAGCUUUCUUUGUAAUUCUAACAUGUGAAGUGAAAGCUAUAAACUCCCAAUUAUCUAAAUGUAUGGUGGAAAUUUACAUUCUCCUCACUGUAGAACUGAUUUAUUCCCAAAAAGCUGAAUUCAAUGCAACAUUGUCAGGGAAUAGUGCAAAAGCUAUAAAAUAAUAGCACCUCCUGAAAUACUGUUUUAAAAUUCAAGAGAGUCAGAAUAUUCCCUUUAAUAAACAAGGCAAUCUUUCAUAGAAACCCAAGGCUUCCUGACAUUUUCCAUUACAGCAGAAAUACAGCAAAGAUGGGUGUGAAAGCUUUAAACUAAUAUCUGAGGUACUUACAUGUCAAUACUUGACCAUGGCAGAUACUUUGAGUUAGCGUUAUAUGACCUAGAUGGUAUAAACUGUCAUAGCUUCACUAACUUUAAUCAAAACCAUUGGAGAUGUGGCAACUUACACUAGCUAAGAAUCUUCCCUAGGCUGUAGCCCUGACUUAAGUAUUUUAGGGAGGCUUGAUCCAUUUUGUAAACGUCAGUGAACAUUUUAAACAUGCUUGUAUGUGUGUGUGUAUACGUGUAAAUACAAGAAUUCUGAAGUUUAUUUAUAGAACUGAGAAUUUGCAAAAUAACAGUACUCUAAGGCUAAAAAUAUCCAAGUGGAAAUGGUUUUCCUAAUAUGACUUCCAAAGAAACUCGUGCGACAAUGCAGUAAUAUCUUCCAUAAAUCACAGCAGUUGAUAUCAAGCUAUGGCAUGUAAUUGUAUUAGUCUUAUCUAGCAUUUUUACGGCUAAGCAGUAAGAAGAAGUG
Long non-coding RNA from Dromaius novaehollandiae (emu), 5417 nucleotides. RefSeq lists it as uncharacterized. The transcript has 3 exons. NCBI's taxonomy places the organism in Eukaryota, Metazoa, Chordata, Aves, Casuariiformes, Dromaiidae. The record is from RefSeq and is a predicted model, not a curated record.